Molecule: ribosomal RNA, 476 nt
Filed under: beta proteobacterium Z11
Lineage: Bacteria; Pseudomonadati; Pseudomonadota; Betaproteobacteria
Description: bacterial SSU rRNA
Rfam family: Bacterial small subunit ribosomal RNA
Source: RNAcentral
CCGCGUGUGCGAUGAAGGCCUUCGGGUUGUAAAGCACUUUUGGCAGGAAAGAAAUCGCACCAAUUAAUACUUGGUGUGGAUGACGGUACCUGCAGAAUAAGCACCGGCUAACUACGUGCCAGCAGCCGCGGUAAUACGUAGGGUGCAAGCGUUAAUCGGAAUUACUGGGCGUAAAGCGUGCGCAGGCGGUUCGGAAAGAGAGGUGUGAAAUCCCAGGGCUCAACCUUGGAACUGCACUUUUAACUACCGAGCUAGAGUAUGUCAGAGGGGGGUGGAAUUCCGCGUGUAGCAGUGAAAUGCGUAGAUAUGCGGAGGAACACCGAUGGCGAAGGCAGCCCCCUGGGAUAAUACUGACGCUCAUGCACGAAAGCGUGGGGAGCAAACAGGAUUAGAUACCCUGGUAGUCCACGCCCUAAACGAUGUCAACUAGCUGUUGGGGCCUUCGGGCCUUAGUAGCGCAGCUAACGCGUGAAGUU